Molecule: non-coding RNA, 63 nt
Organism: Trypanosoma congolense IL3000
Lineage: Eukaryota; Euglenozoa; Kinetoplastea; Trypanosomatida; Trypanosomatidae
Source: Rfam
AUGAGGUUCGAAUACGCUUCACGGUUUCUGUGCGUCCACGCGUGGGAAACGCCUCAAAGAUGC